CAAUAGCGUAUAUUAAAGUUGUUGCAGUUAAAAAGCUCGUAGUUGGAUUUCGGGGCAGCCUGGCUGGUCCGCCGCAAGGCGAGUACUGGUCAGCCGCCCUUCCUCUCGAAAGCCCCGACUGCUCUUCGUUGCAGUGGUCGGGUAGUUCGGGACGUCUACUUUGAAAAAAUUAGAGUGUUCAAGGCAGGCCUACGCCUGAAUACAUUAGCAUGGAAUAAUGGAAGAGGACCUCGGUCCUAUUUUGUUGGUUUCCAGGGCCGAAGUAAUGAUUAAGAGGGACAGUUGGGGGCAUUCGUAUUUAAUUGUCAGAGGUGAAAUUCUCGGAUUUAUGAAAGACGAACAACUGCGAAAGCAUUUGCCAAGGAUGUUUUCAUUAA
RNAcentral lists this ribosomal RNA (377 nucleotides) under uncultured eukaryote. RNAcentral describes it as "partial 18S ribosomal RNA". It matches the Rfam family "Eukaryotic small subunit ribosomal RNA", at positions 592 to 976 of the family's 1831-position model. The record is from RNAcentral.